This 108-nucleotide non-coding RNA is filed under the name bovine gut metagenome. RNAcentral's name for it is "FMN riboswitch (RFN element)". It matches the Rfam family "FMN riboswitch aptamer (RFN element)". From Rfam's summary of the family: The RFN element is a highly conserved domain that is found frequently in the 5'-untranslated regions of prokaryotic mRNAs that encode for flavin mononucleotide (FMN) biosynthesis and transport proteins. The record is from RNAcentral.
GCUUCAGGGCGGGGUGAAAGUCCCCACCGGCGGUACAGCCCGCACACAGGUUUUCCUGUUGAUCCGUUGUAAUUCCGGAGCCGACGGUAUAGUCCGGAUGAGAGAAGU